AUGAACAGGAGACAGAGAUACAGAGCAUACCGCACGGGAUUAGAGAGAGAGAGAGAGAGCAGCGAUAGAAUGGGAGAGAGAGGAGCGGCGGUGAUGGCGGAAUGACCAUUCUCUCCCGCCGACCAUCCUCUUGGCCUUUGGUCAGACCACCGGUGGUGGGUUGUGGUGGUUUGGACGGGUGAAACGAUGGUAGAAGGCGGUGGUGAACGAGGGUUAAGCGUCAUAGUAUGACGACAAUGACGGCUGUGGGUUCUGGGGUCCCGUCGUCGAUUCAGAUCAACAGCUGAAACCCUAGGGUUACAUUGAACGCGAAUGUAGCAACGACGAGGCAACGCCGGCUGAUCCGACGACGACAAAGCUUGAGGCGAAAGUUGUCAAAAUUUUGUCUUCUUUCGAGGUAUGGUUCUGUUUCACUGAUUUCAUCCAGAUUUGUUUGAUAUUUGUUCGAACUUAUGUAUGUCUACACGAAGAGAAGGAGAAAAAUGUACACCCCCUGUAUUAUUUACAUCCAGCCUAAAUGAAUAACUAUGCACAUGUGGAGGACAAAUAUAAUGUGUGUUAGAGACCCAACUUUUACAUCUAAACAAAAUUAAAAUCCGUGUUAUAUCAUGUGAUUGGCUUCUAUUCGAUUAUCAAAAAAUUGAAUUGUAGCCUUUAGUUAUACAAAUCUAACUUGGGAUCUGUCAUAUGUUUGAGUAUGAUACUGGUUAACACUAUCAUUCCUAUAACAGAUGAUCCUUGAUCCGGAUGUUUUAUAUUCCAAAGUAAAAGUUGUAUGAAAUGUUACAAAGUGUUUGAUAAAACUUACAUAAGAUGACAUGAAGAAGUGUGUAAGCUUAUAUUACAUGAUAUACUAUGAUUGCAUUUAGGAUUUUUGUACGGUGUUGAUUACUUAUAGUUUAUUACACAUUGUGAGCAUCAUCCUUGCUGCCACUGCAUGGCUGGUGACGGUGGGGAUUGUCAGCAUCGGACGGGAGAUUAGGUCGGCCGCGAUGUUGUUGAAGAGUUCCACCAGGUGACGGAGGUGGGCAAAAGCCCAGCGAAGAUCCGCCGAAGGAUGAUUUCACGUAUGCGAGAUCCAAACCAUUGUAGAAGAAUUUACCUCCGGUGACGGUUAUUAUGGCGAUCCCGGCAGUUGAUUGAGAUUUGGCUCAUGAUAUCCCGGAGCAUUGGUUAGCUAAUUUUGUGGUGCUAUGGCUUUACAAAGGUUGAUUUAAUGAAGAUGUAGGUUUCUAAUAUUAGCUUUGAUGCAGUAUAUACAGUUGAUGCUACUUGCUAUGCCCCAAAUUCGAUUCAACACAUUAGUGGAUAUGGUCAAAUGGUUGAUAAUUGUUGCUGUCAUGGAGCAGUCGUUGGAUUUUGCUCUUUGUUGUUUGGAGAAAUCAGUUGCUAACUGUGAUAGUUUAAGUUUUAUUCAGGUCCAACGGCCUUUUCUACUUCGUUGGUGAUAGCUGCAAACCCUCAGAUUUUUGGGCCGGGUAACAGCCCCGCCCCCACAGUCAAGGCGCCCAACCCAACAACACCAGCCCAAAAAGGAACAUCGAAGCCUCAGCAAAGUGGCAGCUGCAGUUCUCUGAUUCACAACCACCACCAAAAAGGCCGGGUAAAGGUGGAAUGGACGACUAAAAGCUGAACCAUAGACAUACCUUUUGUCCACCUAAAGAAACAAGUCACGGUGAAAUGGCAGCCUACAUCCAAAAAGCACCAAACAAGUACAUCACCUGCUGCGUAUAUAAGUAGCCACGACGGCUUUCCUUAGGAAAACUUGUAAUUAACGUUAUACGUAUGCUACUGACUUCAACAUGUAUCUCUAGAUGUCCUAAAUUUUGUUAGCCGCGUCUAUACGCGACAUUAUAAUCUCUAUGCGCGACACUAUAGUCGAUGAAUGAUAAUGUUAUUAACAU
This 1904-nucleotide long non-coding RNA is filed under the name Helianthus annuus (common sunflower). Lineage: Eukaryota; Viridiplantae; Streptophyta; Magnoliopsida; Asterales; Asteraceae. The record is from RNAcentral.